This is a long non-coding RNA of Papaver somniferum (opium poppy), 1596 nucleotides long. RefSeq lists it as uncharacterized. The transcript is spliced from 13 exons. NCBI's taxonomy places the organism in Eukaryota, Viridiplantae, Streptophyta, Magnoliopsida, Ranunculales, Papaveraceae. The record is from RefSeq and is a predicted model, not a curated record.
UCCUCUCCGCCGAUGGAACCAGAUGAGUUUCUGCUCUCAGCCUCUCGUCUCUUUCUGUCAACCGAUGAACCAGAUCGAGUUUGGUGAAUCAAUUUUGAUUCAGUUUGUUCAUCAUCUAUAAUAUGAUUUUUAGGUCUUCAUAAAUCGUUUUAGGAUUUCAGUCUGUAUUAUGAUUCAUUGAUUUUAGUUUGUUCGUCGGAGUCCGAACUUGGAAGAACUGAUCUUCACUCUCAGCUAAUCGUGUGAAAGCAUCUGUUCUACUUAUUUUAAUUUAGAUGCAGAUGGGAAUUAAGUUGAUAAGUUGACUGAGAAGCUACAAGGGUUUGGAAUUGCGGAUGGUAGUGGUGAUGGUGUUGUUCUAACUACUUCUAAGGUCAGCGAUUUUGGUGAUUGGAAGCAUAAUAUAUGGUAUGGGAAUUGGACUGGAAAUGCACCAAUGUACAUUGCUGAGGCUGCACCAAGUCAGGUUAUAUAGUUGGCGGUCUGGAAAUUGAUAUAGUUGAAGGAUGGCGUUACUUGUAUGCUACUAGUAUUCUUAUAUCUUUUCUUAUGGGAGUCGGAGUGUGGUGGUUGCCCCCAUCACCACGAUGGUUAUUAUGCGCCAUAGAAGGAAAGGGAAAUACAAAAGGGGCAAGAGAAACUGCAAUAUGUUGUUCGUGCCGGAUGAUGGGUUGAGCCAUUGGUGUCUCAGCUCCAGAACAUGUAUAUGAAAUGCUUGAAAGCACUUACUAUUGGUGUUGGAAUGGUUUUGUUCCAGCAGAUCACAGGGAAACCAAGUGUGUUAUAUUAUGCUGCAACAAUUCUCAAGGGGCAAGACCAAAAGAAACUGGAUGUUCCUUCAAAUGAUGUAUUUUUUAAGGCUCUCGUGAGCAGUGGAAUAACAUUUGUGUCAAGCACGGAACUGGUGUCAAUGGUUUCACACUUUCACUCUUGGUCCGUCAAUUGGGGAGUUCAUUAUGACUCAUACUGACAUUGAGAUGCUUUUGGAAAUUAAACCACUUGUACUAGUUUUUACUACAUUGGCUUAAUGGCAUCUUAUAAUGCAGGAAGCAGUUGGAGUGGAUACUGUUGUUUUGGAGCUUAAAGAAAUAGGAAGACAAUCAGAAAUGUUGUUCUCACUCCUGAACCCAUGAUAUCCGUUUAUACUUGCGAGGCGUUUGGCAUCAACAUGUGUACCUUCUAGAUUACAUGAACCAAUUGCACUGAUUGCCUAGAAGAGUCUAUAUGAAAGACAAAGAGAGUGCCAAGUCAUGAAGUUUCAUCUUACCUAGUUGCAGUUAACUAGAUUGCCUACAUCGAGUUUUAUGGUGCCCAAGCUUUCAAGAAAGCAAGCCUGCAAAGGAUAUAAAGCUUAGUUGCGGUUAUUUGAAUGAUGCUCUAUUUCAUCAGAAAGAGUGGAGAACAAAGGAGCUUCAAGAUUUGUAAGUUCCAUGUAUUCAAGUUUGUAUUUGUUCCCUUAGAAAUUUGGAACCUUCCAUGUAUUCCUUGAUAAAUUUGAUACUUCAAAAAAAAAGAAAAAGUUUGGUACUUCGAGAAAUUUCAGUUCUUUUGUUGUAUGAACCUGAGAUGAAUAAAAUGAAUGUGAUUAUGAAUUGA